Molecule: RNA transcript, 2733 nt
Organism: Manis pentadactyla (Chinese pangolin)
Lineage: Eukaryota; Metazoa; Chordata; Mammalia; Pholidota; Manidae
Gene: NCR3LG1
Gene name: natural killer cell cytotoxicity receptor 3 ligand 1
Exons: 6
Source: RefSeq, a predicted model, not a curated record
GCAGAGCUGCCGAGGGGGUAAAAAACCUGGGACGUGGCAAUGCCCCCCCGCGUCUCAUCCGGACCGAAGCGCAGGACUUCUUCCAUCUUUCGCGGGGUGUGAUCAGCCGGCCGCGCAGCCGCAGAACGGGAACUGCGGCUCCGCCCCCGUGGCUAGCGGCUGCGGCCGGCUGCGCGAGGCUAUGGACAAGGCCGAGGGAUCAGCCGGCCGCGCGUGGUGGGCCUUCGCGCAGCUCCUGGUCCUGGGUCUGUGGCGCACGCUGCCCACUGCAGGUGCUCUGGAAGUGGAGAUGGCAGGGACGACUCAGAGAGUAUUCCUGAAUGACAAUGCCACCAUUUUCUGCAAGGUGUCUUGUUUCUCACACGUGGACAUCAGGAUUAUGGGUAUCACCUGGUUUCGGAAGAGUCAGGCCUCUGAAAGAGAGGUGAAACUAUUUGAGUUUUUUGGAAACCAUCAAGAGGCAUUCCGAUCUGGGGCCAUAGUGUUGCCGCGGAGGCUGACGAGGGGGGACGCCUCAUUGCAACUGCCACGAGUCCAGCUGGGGGAAGCAGGAGAGUACCGAUGUGAGGUGGUAAUCACCCCUCAGAAGGCACUGGGAAGAGUCUGGCUGGAGGUUGUCGCUUACCCGGUCAGCCGCUUAUUCCUAGACCAAGCCAUGAUGAAAGAAAAUCAAAAGAAACACAUUUCAUGUACAUCAAGUGGGUUUUACCCAAAGGACAUUAAUAUAACGUGGAAAAAAUGGACCUGGAAGAAACCCCAGUAUCUGGAGUUUUCUGAGGGUGUCAACACUACUCCUGCCGUGAAGAAUGAGGAUGGUACAUUUAAUAUCACUAGCUUCUUGAGCCUGAACCCCUCUCUGGAAGAUAAUGUGACCAUCUACCAGUGUGAGAUAUGGCAUAUAUCCUUGCAUGCCUCCCAGAGGCUAAACUUCACUCUGACUAUGAUAGAUUCAGAGCAUACAACUGUUUUGUACAUCAUUCUUUCCGUUAUUGGAUCUGUCUUGCCAAUUGGACUGCUUUUAUUAAUUUUAUUUCGGUUUCUUCAGAAAAGGUAAGGGGCGCAAAAGGAAGUCCAGGUGCUGACAUUAUUACCUGAAAUUUGGCUGUGCUAUCUAUUGAAAAGAGAGACUAAGUCUUCAUGAUCAGCCUGGAUUAUGUGGUGGUUUGCAAGUAUGGCUUCAUUCCUUCACUCUUCCCUGUGUCCAUGGUCUUUACCAUAUAACUUUGCAGUGCCAUCCAGUGAUGGGCUGCCACUUAAUUGGGCUUAACCUUGUGACUUGAUUUGGCCAAUACAGUGGGGCAGAAGUGAAAGAAUACUGUUCUAAGCCUAGCCCUCAAGAGGCCUUGUGUAUUCCAUUUGCUUUCUUUUGUGCUUCUGACAUUGUGAGAGAAGGACACAUCCACGCUAGCCUGCUGGAGGACGAGAGACACCAGAAGCUAGAGCUAGUUGCUCUAACGGAGACCAGUCUAGAUCAGACAACAGCCACCCACCUCUCAAAUAUGUGAACAAAUCUAGCUGAAGGCAUCAGUGCCAACAGAGCCAACUCUCAAAUAUAUGAGAAAUAAAUAUUUAUUUUUUCAAAGCUGCUGAUUUUUAAACUGACUUGUUGCACAGCAAAAAGAACUGAUAAAUCUCAGGAAGGUGAGUUUUGACCAAAAAGUAUGGUUGCCAUGGAGAUGAGACUGCUCAGACCCUCUGAAAGAGAGAGAGACAACUCACACCUGCUAUGAAGAAUGUAUUCAGCCAACAUGCUCCACCUGUUGCAUCUCAGGGAUCUGCUGCAGUAUUCAAGACAGUACCCCUAAUAACUUUUUUGUAACUCCAUCUUGAAAGCUGCCUCACAGAAGACCCAAACUGACACAAGGAGGGGCUGCUUUCAUCAUGCUACAUUCCUGGCUUAUUCAAGUGGAGGAACUGGUAGAAUGACAUUGGCCAUUUACAGAGACAGACAGCAGAGGUCACAAGGUUUCUCAAGAGAUUGUGUCAGUAACUGAAAUUACUUUUCAUGAUGACCCAGACAGCUUGCUCAACAGCAGAUUGUUUAAGCUGCCCUCCUUGAUAGCCUUCUGCCAGUUAUCUUAUUCAAGGGAACAAAAGUAACACUUUAUAAAGAAGACAUGCAGAUGAGAAAUACAUACAUGAAAAGGUGCUCAGUAUCACUAAUCAUCAGGGAUUUGCAAAACCAGUGAGAUAUUACCUUACUGUGGUUAGAAUGGCUGUCAUCAAAAAGAGAAGAAAUAAUCGUUGGUGAGAAUAUGGAGAAAAGGGAACCCUCAUGCAUUGAUGGGAAUAUAAAUUGGUUUUGACAGGAAUAUAAAUUGGUGCAGGCACUAUGGAAAACAAUAUGGAAGUUCCUCAAAAAAUUAAAAAUACAGCUACCAUAUGUUCUAGCUAUAUCACUUCUGGGUAUUUAUCCAAAGAAAAUGAAAGCACUAACUUAAAAAGAUACCUGCAUCCCAUGUUCACUGAAGCAUUAUUUAUAAUAGCCAAUUGUAUAGCAAAUUAAUAAGAGGGGUUAAUUUGAAAGUUACUGAGUAAAACAAGUUCUCAUCAUGAGAAAAAUAAUUUUGUGACUAUACAUGGUGGUGGAUGUUGACUUAUUGUGGUGAUCAUUGUAUGAAUAUAUGAAUAUUGAAUCAUGUAUACCUGAAACAUGUUAAAUGUCUAUUAUGACUCAAUAUUUUUAAAAAAGAAUACUUAUAUUUCUAUAUUUCAAGACUGGUCCAUUUCUAU